GAGCGUAUAGCUCAGUGGUAGAGCACAUGCUUAGCAAGUACAAGGUCCUGGGUUCAAUCCCCAACACCUCCA
This 72-nucleotide transfer RNA is filed under the name Camelus ferus (Wild Bactrian camel). It matches the Rfam family "tRNA". From Rfam's summary of the family: Transfer RNA (tRNA) molecules are approximately 80 nucleotides in length. The record is from Rfam by way of RNAcentral. Lineage: Eukaryota; Metazoa; Chordata; Mammalia; Artiodactyla; Camelidae.